GGUGAGUAACACGUGGGCAACCUGCCCUCAGCUCUGGGAUAACUCCGGGAAACCGGGGCUAAUACCGGAUACGACCUUCCCUCGCAUGGGGGUUGGUGGAAAGUUCUUCGGCUGAGGAUGGGCCCGCGGCCUAUCAGCUUGUUGGUGGGGUGAUGGCCUACCAAGGCGACGACGGGUAGCCGGCCUGAGAGGGCGACCGGCCACACUGGGACUGAGACACGGCCCAG
RNAcentral lists this ribosomal RNA (227 nucleotides) under uncultured Actinomycetales bacterium. RNAcentral describes it as "partial 16S ribosomal RNA". It matches the Rfam family "Bacterial small subunit ribosomal RNA", at positions 105 to 334 of the family's 1533-position model. The record is from RNAcentral. Lineage: Bacteria; Bacillati; Actinomycetota; Actinomycetes; Actinomycetales.